AUCCUUUUCUAGUUCACAAUAACAACAAUUGGGCUUUCAUGCUACAGUAUUAGAUGUGCCUCCCUCAAACCUUAUUAUAAUGUUGGUAUAUUACCCAUGUGAUA
Small nucleolar RNA from Nycticebus coucang (slow loris), 104 nucleotides. RefSeq annotates it as small nucleolar RNA U13. The transcript has a single exon. Lineage: Eukaryota; Metazoa; Chordata; Mammalia; Primates; Lorisidae. The record is from RefSeq and is a predicted model, not a curated record.